RNA transcript from Harpia harpyja (harpy eagle), 1793 nucleotides. It is a transcript of the gene named solute carrier family 22 member 2-like, with no coding region annotated. The transcript is spliced from 11 exons. The record is from RefSeq and is a predicted model, not a curated record. Lineage: Eukaryota; Metazoa; Chordata; Aves; Accipitriformes; Accipitridae.
AUGCCAACCCUAGAUGACAUUUUGGAGAACGUUGGAGAAUUUGACAGGUUCCAGAAGCAAUCCUUCUUUGUCCUGUGUUUGCUUUCUGCUGCCUUCACCCCGGUGUAUGUGGGUGUCGUCUUCUUCGGGUUCACCCCCGAGCAUCGCUGCUUCAGUCCCGGGGUGGCCGAGCUGAGCCAGCGGUGUGGCUGGAGCCUGGAGGAGCAGCUGAAUCACACUGUUCCCGAGUGGGGCGGCCAUGGGGCCGGUUUCGGCAGCCGCUGCAGGAGGUACGAGGUGGACUGGAACGCGACGGGCGUCAGCUGCACCGACCCCCUCGGCAGCCUUGUGGGCAACCGGAGCAGCGUCCCCCUCAGUCCCUGCCGGGACGGCUGGGUCUACAACUCCCCGGGGACCUCUCUCGUGACUGAGUUUAACCUGGUGUGUGAGGACUCCUGGAAGCUGGACCUCUUCCAGUCUUCUGUGAACGCUGGGUUUUUUAUUGGCUCCAUAAACAUCGGCUACAUAGCAGACAGGUUUGGCCGUAGAUUUUGCCUCUUAAAUACAAUUCUUGCAAAUGUCAUCUGUGGAACCCUUCUGGUCUUUGUGCCCACCUACCUGUGGAUAGUCAUCCUCCGCUUCUUGCAAGGGCUGGUCAGCAAGGGCUGCUGGACCGCAGGCUACAUCCUGGUGACAGAAGUCGUUGGUCCGAGGUACCGGAGGACGGUGGGCAUCCUCUACCAGACGGCCUUCUCCGUUGGGCUCCUGGUCUUUGAUGCCGUCGCUUACGCCAUCCCUCACUGGCGGUGGCUGCAGCUCACUGUCACCCUGCCGAGCUGCUUCUUCCUGCUCUACUACUGGUGCCUUCCAGAGUCUCCCAGGUGGCUGAUAUCUCAAGGAAAAAAUGACAAAGCUAUGAAAAUUGUCAGCGAUAUGGCUAAAAAAAAUCGGAAAAAGAUGCCUUCCCAUUUUGAGGACAUUAAAUUAGAAGAGGAAGAUGGUGGAAAGCAGAGUCCUUCACUCAUUGACCUUGUCAGGACACCACAGAUGAGAAAAAACACGUUCAUUUUGAUGUACAACUGGUUCACAAGCUCUGUCCUCUACCAGGGGCUCAUCAUGCACAUGGGAGUAGCUGCUGGGAACGUGUACCUGGAUUUCCUCUAUUCUGCGCUUGUUGAGUUCCCAGCCGCCUUCAUCAUCAUCGUCACCAUCGACCGCGUCGGGCGGCGCUACCCCUGGGCUGCGGCAAACCUGGUGGCUGGGGCUGCCUGCCUUGUCACAGCCCUGAUCCCAGAGGACAUACAUUGGCUAAAAGUCAUUGCUGCUUGCAUUGGGAGAAUGGGAAUCACAAUGGCUUUUGAAAUGGUUUGCUUUGUGAACACUGAACUGUAUCCAACAUACAUCAGGUGAAAACUCACGUGACUGAAAUAAAGGGAAAAGUGGAGACAACCCGGGUGGACGAGGGGUCUGAAGUCCCACACACAGUGCUUGGAUUUGUCCUGCAUAAGGGUCAGAGUUGUGAUCCGUCCCCUUGCCUCUGCAGUACUCUGACGCUAACGUGAUGACUUUGCUGUUCAACCAGGAACCUCGGGGUGAUGGUCUGCUCCUCCUUGUGUGAUGUGGGUGGAGUCAUCGUCCCAUUUAUUGUCUACAGACUGGUGGAAGUCUGGCACGAUCUGCCGCUGGUAGUCUUCACUGUUCUUGGUUUGGUUGCGGGUGGACUGGUGUUGUUUCUACCUGAAACUAAAGGAAGAGUUUUGCCUGAGACUGUUGAAGAUGUUGAAAACUUUCAUGGGCACAGUGCUCCAAAGGCC